UCGAGACAGGGAGUCCGUGGCCCAAGCGUGACCGAUAAGCUGUUCCACGGACGGCGCCGGGUGCAGCCCCCGCCGUCCGCCAAAUGAUCAGCCAGCAGCCGCUGCAACCCCAGGGAG
RNAcentral lists this small RNA (117 nucleotides) under Streptomyces swartbergensis. Its description in RNAcentral is "Streptomyces-metK RNA". It matches the Rfam family "Streptomyces-metK RNA". Lineage: Bacteria; Bacillati; Actinomycetota; Actinomycetes; Kitasatosporales; Streptomycetaceae. The record is from Rfam by way of RNAcentral.